AGAUCUAAGAUCCUAUUACAUGAUUAUUACAUAGCAUUAAAUCAAAAAUUAAAAUAUAUAAAUAUAGCAUGAACUACAUAUUGAUCAUAUCAACAUGUUUCUAUACCACAUCUAAUGUAUGUAUUAAAUAAUAGAUCAGAUCUAUUACCUUGCAAGUUAGACGCUCUAACCUCGCUGAUCCGGGCUUAAGGAUGAUGUUGCAAGCCGCACAUACGUCCGGCCUCUAGGAGUCGUCCACAUGAGCCCACAAAUCUCGAUCAGAAGUCCUGCUUCAGGAAAUCAGCACAGUAUGCUAGUACUGCGCUGAUCCUUCUUUGAUGGUUGAUCAGGUGCCUCCUUCUUCUUGAUUUGGACUCUUUCAAAGAUGGAAAGUAAAAGGAGGAGUUUCAGAUCUGAGACACUCUCAGGAAACUCAAGAUGGAGGGAGGAAAGAUAUGAAAACAAAAAACCCUAGAAGAAGACCCUCUUCUUCUU
RNAcentral lists this long non-coding RNA (474 nucleotides) under Elaeis guineensis (African oil palm). Its description in RNAcentral is "long non-coding RNA (EGUI_LNC059673)". Lineage: Eukaryota; Viridiplantae; Streptophyta; Magnoliopsida; Arecales; Arecaceae. The record is from RNAcentral.